This 492-nucleotide ribosomal RNA is filed under the name uncultured bacterium. RNAcentral describes it as "partial 16S ribosomal RNA". It matches the Rfam family "Bacterial small subunit ribosomal RNA", at positions 29 to 507 of the family's 1533-position model. The record is from RNAcentral.
AGUGAACGCUGGCGGUAGGCCUAACACAUGCAAGUCGAACGGCAGCACAGUAAGAGCUUGCUCUUACGGGUGGCGAGUGGCGGACGGGUGAGGAAUACAUCGGAAUCUACUUUUUCGUGGGGGAUAACGUAGGGACACUUACGCUAAUACCGCAUACGACCUACGGGUGAAAGCAUGGGAUCUUCGGACCUUGCGCGAUUGAAUGAGCCGAUGUCGGAUUAGCUAGUUGGCGGGGUAAAGGCCCACCAAGGCGACGAUCCGUAGCUGGUCUGAGAGGAUGAUCAGCCACACUGGAACUGAGACACGGUCCAGACUCCUACGGGAGGCAGCAGUGGGGAAUAUUGGACAAUGGGCGCAAGCCUGAUCCAGCCAUACCGCGUGGGUGAAGAAGGCCUUCGGGUUGUAAAGCCCUUUUGUUGGGAAAGAAAAGCAGCAGGUUAAUACCUCGCUGUUCUGACGGUACCCAAAGAAUAAGCACCGGCUAACUUCGUG